UACGAAGGGGGCUAGCGUUGCUCGGAAUCACUGGGCGUAAAGCGCACGUAGGCGGAUUGUUAAGUCAGGGGUGAAAUCCUGGAGCUCAACUCCAGAACUGCCUUUGAUACUGGCGAUCUUGAGUCCGGGAGAGGUGAGUGGAACUGCGAGUGUAGAGGUGAAAUUCGUAGAUAUUCGCAAGAACACCAGUGGCGAAGGCGGCUCACUGGCCCGAUACUGACGCUGAGGUGCGAAAGCGUGGGGAGCAAACAGG
RNAcentral lists this ribosomal RNA (253 nucleotides) under uncultured bacterium. RNAcentral describes it as "partial 16S ribosomal RNA". It matches the Rfam family "Bacterial small subunit ribosomal RNA", at positions 524 to 776 of the family's 1533-position model. The record is from RNAcentral.